AUACGGAGGAUCCGAGCGUUAUCCGGAUUUAUUGGGUUUAAAGGGUGCGCAGGCGGCCAUUUAAGUCAGCGGUUAAAUCGUGGGGCUCAACCCCAUUCUGCCGUUGAUACUGGGUGGCUUGAUUGCGGUCGAGGUUGGCGGAAUUCGUUGUGUAGCGGUGAAAUGCAUAGAUAUGACGAAGAACACCGAUUGCGUAGGCAGCUGACCAGACCGCAAAUGACGCUCAUGCACGAAAGUGCGGGGAUCGAACAGGAUUAGAUACCCUGGUAGUCCGCACAGUAAACGAUGAAUACUUGUUUUCGGCGAUAUAAUGUCGGAGGCAAAGCGAAAGCGAUAAGUAUUCUACCUGGGGAGUACGCCGGCAACGGUGAAACUCAAAGGAAUUGACGGGG
RNAcentral lists this ribosomal RNA (392 nucleotides) under uncultured bacterium. RNAcentral's name for it is "partial 16S ribosomal RNA". It matches the Rfam family "Bacterial small subunit ribosomal RNA", at positions 523 to 918 of the family's 1533-position model. The record is from RNAcentral.